This 253-nucleotide ribosomal RNA is filed under the name uncultured bacterium. RNAcentral describes it as "partial 16S ribosomal RNA". It matches the Rfam family "Bacterial small subunit ribosomal RNA", at positions 524 to 776 of the family's 1533-position model. The record is from RNAcentral.
UACGUAGGUGGCAAGCGUUGUCCGGAAUUAUUGGGCGUAAAGCGCGCGCAGGCGGUCCCUUAAGUCUGAUGUGAAAGCCCACGGCUCAACCGUGGAGGGUCAUUGGAAACUGGGGGACUUGAGUACAGAAGAGGAAAGCGGAAUUCCACGUGUAGCGGUGAAAUGCGUAGAUAUCGGGAGGAACACCAGUGGCGAAGGCGACUUCCUGGCCUGUUCUUGACGCUGAGGCGCGAAAGCUAGGGGAGCAAACGGG